CUUAAUCCAACAUCGAGGUCGCAAACCCCCCUGCCGAUAAGAACUCUCAAGGGAGAUAACGCUGUUAUCCCUAAGGUAAUUUAAUCUUACAAUCAAAAUAAAUGGAUCAAACAAAUAUAAAUAAAUAUAACAACACAAAGGAGGGGUUAAAUUAUAUCCCUCCCAUCACCCCAACAAAACAUAUUAAACGGCCUAGUAAACCCUCACAAACACAGAAAGAGACCAUAAUAAAUGUCAAACUCUAUAGGGUCUUCUCGUCCCAUAAAAACAUCUAAGAAUUUUAACUCAAAGACCAAAUUCAAUAAACAAUUCAAAAUUAAGACAGCCCAUGCCUCGUCAAGCCAUUCAUACCAGAUCACAAUUAAAGAACUAAUGACUAUGCUACCUUUGCACGGUCAAAAUACCGCGGCCCUUCAACACUAAAGUCAGCGGGCAGGCCAUACUUCAAAAACUAA
This 455-nucleotide ribosomal RNA is filed under the name Reticulitermes hageni (light southeastern subterranean termite). Its description in RNAcentral is "partial 16S ribosomal RNA". Lineage: Eukaryota; Metazoa; Arthropoda; Insecta; Blattodea; Rhinotermitidae. The record is from RNAcentral.